AGCGAACGCUGGCGGCAGGCUUAACACAUGCAAGUCGAGCGGGCGUAGCAAUACGUCAGCGGCAGACGGGUGAGUAACACGUGGGAACGUACCUUUUGGUUCGGAACAACACAGGGAAACUUGUGCUAAUACCGAAUAAGCCCUUACGGGGAAAGAUUUAUCGCCGAAAGAUCGGCCCGCGUCUGAUUAGCUUGUUGGUGAGGUAACGGCUCACCAAGGCGACGAUCAGUAGCGGUCUGAGAGGAUGAUCAGCCACACUGGGACUGAGACACGGCCCAGACUCCUACGGGAGGCAGCAGUGGGGAAGUAUUGGACAAUGGGGGCAACCCUGAUCCAGCCAUGCCGCGUGAGUGAUGAA
This 358-nucleotide ribosomal RNA is filed under the name uncultured bacterium. RNAcentral's name for it is "bacterial SSU rRNA". It matches the Rfam family "Bacterial small subunit ribosomal RNA", at positions 29 to 412 of the family's 1533-position model. The record is from RNAcentral.